Non-coding RNA from Xyrichtys novacula (pearly razorfish), 95 nucleotides. NCBI's taxonomy places the organism in Eukaryota, Metazoa, Chordata, Actinopteri, Labriformes, Labridae. The record is from the annotation of a GenBank genome assembly.
ACCUUGAUAGCUCAGUUUGUAGAGCAGACGGCUAUAGGAAGCUCCUAUGAAUUGCUUUGAUGCAAAGGUUGCAGGUUCAACUCCUGCUCAAAGCA